CUACGUGCCAGCAGCCGCGGUAAUACGUAGGGGGCAAGCGUUAUCCGGAAUAACUGGGCGUAAAGGGUGCGCAGGUGGUUUAACAAGUUAGUGGUGAAAGGCAUAGGCUCAACCAAUGUAAGCCAUUAAAACUGUUUAACUUGAGUSCAGGAGAGGAAAGUGGAAUUCCUAGUGUAGCGGUGAAAUGCGUAGAUAUCAGGAAGAACACCGGUGGCGAAGGCGGGUCUCUGGGCCGUUACUGACGCUGAGGAGCGAAAGCGUGGGGAGCGAACAGGAUUAGAUACCCUGGUAGUCCACGCCGUAAACGUUGGGCACUAGGUGUGGGGGGCCUUUUCCGGGUUUUCCGCGCCGUAGCUAACGCAUUAAGUGCCCCGCCUGGGGAGUACGGCCGCAAGGCUAAAACUCAAAGGAAUUGACGGGGGCCCGCACAAGCGGCGGAGCAUGCGGAUUAAUUCGAUGCAACGCGAAGAACCUUACCAAGGCUUGACAU
This 490-nucleotide ribosomal RNA is filed under the name uncultured bacterium. RNAcentral's name for it is "bacterial SSU rRNA". It matches the Rfam family "Bacterial small subunit ribosomal RNA", at positions 501 to 987 of the family's 1533-position model. The record is from RNAcentral.